GCCGGCAUGGUGGAAUGGUAGACACGGCAGACUCAAAAUCUGCUGGGGGCAACCCCGUGAGAGUUCAAGUCUCUCCGCCGGUA
This 83-nucleotide transfer RNA is filed under the name Spirochaetia bacterium. RNAcentral describes it as "tRNA-Leu". It matches the Rfam family "tRNA". From Rfam's summary of the family: Transfer RNA (tRNA) molecules are approximately 80 nucleotides in length. Their secondary structure includes four short double-helical elements and three loops (D, anti-codon, and T loops). Further hydrogen bonds mediate the characteristic L-shaped molecular structure. tRNAs have two regions of fundamental functional importance: the anti-codon, which is responsible for specific mRNA codon recognition, and the 3' end, to which the tRNAs corresponding amino acid is attached (by aminoacyl-tRNA synthetases). tRNAs cope with the degeneracy of the genetic code in two manners: having more than one tRNA (with a specific anti-codon) for a particular amino acid; and 'wobble' base-pairing, i.e. permitting non-standard base-pairing at the 3rd anti-codon position. The record is from RNAcentral. Lineage: Bacteria; Pseudomonadati; Spirochaetota; Spirochaetia.